GUCGCUCGGCUGGUCGGAAUGGUGAUUUCUCGGGACGCUCGAAGUCUCCCUCGGGACGAAGAUUAUCAUCAGGUCUUAUGGGCUUCGGUCGCUCUCCAGGACGAUACUCUGGACGCUCAGGAGUCUGGAACUCACCCUCAGUACGCAGAUUAUCCUCAGGUCUUAUGGGCUUCGGUCGCUCUCCAGGACGAUACUCUGGACGCUCAGGAGUCUGGAACUCUCCUUCAGUACGCAGAUUAUCCUCAGGUUUGAUCUGCUUCGGACGCUCGGCCGGUCUGUACUGAGGCUUCUCAGGCUUCUCGAACUCUCCUUCCGGUCUGAGGUUAUCUUGAGGACGAACCUGCUUCGGUCGCUCGGCCGAUUUGUACUGAGGCUUCUCUGGAGUAGAGAACUCGCCCUCGGGACGAAGAUUGUCCUCAGGACGAACCUGCUUCGGUCGCUCGGCUGGUCGGAAUGGUGAUUUCUCGGGACGCUCGAAGUCUCCCUCGGGACGAAGAUUAU
Molecule: long non-coding RNA, 501 nt
Organism: Anopheles coluzzii
Lineage: Eukaryota; Metazoa; Arthropoda; Insecta; Diptera; Culicidae
Exons: 5
Source: RefSeq, a predicted model, not a curated record